This 1108-nucleotide long non-coding RNA is filed under the name Daphnia pulicaria. RNAcentral's name for it is "uncharacterized LOC124343992, transcript variant X1". The record is from RNAcentral. Lineage: Eukaryota; Metazoa; Arthropoda; Branchiopoda; Diplostraca; Daphniidae.
GGAAUUCAAAAUUUGAGACUAAAAUUUCCCGAUAGGGAUUCUAUCGCCAAAGACCUGUUUCCUGACCCAACCCAACCCACACCAACAGAUGGCGUUGUUCCUCUCAGUGAGAUAGGAAAGUUGUUUAUUUCAUUAAUGUCUUAUACGUUUUUUUUCUUAGAGUUAAACAAUUAGGAAAUUAUGAUCAUCUUGUGCAAGACAAGGUUUUACAUGGAGCCGUCGCAUUUAGAUUUUUAUAUUGCGACGAAAUCAUAAUUAUAAACUCGAAUUUGUGUUUUCGUGUUUUAUUAAACUGCCGUUAGAUGGUUCUGAGUUCUGACGCAUUGCUAUAAGGCCGUGCUAUAUAAACACAGCCUAUUAUCUAGUCAACUCGGUCUACUGUUUUCCAUUUGCAGUCUUCAAAUCUUCAAUCUUCAUUCUUCAUUCGAAAGUAAAAAUGAAUGUUUUCUUUUCUUCCAUCAACCAGCGGCCAUCAAUGGUAGAUCCUCAGAAUACAAUUACAGAAAUGACCAACAACAGUGAAGAACAACAGACCUCAUCUUCCGGGAGACCAUCAUAGAGGUGGUAUUUCAGCCACCAACUCCAGAGGCCAAAGUUGAAUCUGAUGCUCCCCCCGCUGUGAUCACCACUCAGCCAGCACAGCCAAUGCCUGAACACGAUGACAGCAUUGCUGUGGUCAUGUGGGAAUCCACCGUUACUGGUUCCAUCAACCAGUGGCCAUCAAUGGUAGAUCCUCAGAAUAAAAUUACAGAAAUGACCAACAACAGUGAAGAACAACAGACCUCAUCUUCCGGGAGACCAUCAUAGAGGGAGACCAUCAAAUUCAGCCACCAACUCCAGAGGCCAAGGUUGAAUCUGAUGCUCCCCCCGCUGUGAUCACCACUCAGCCAGCACAGCCAAUGCCUGAACACGAUGACAGCAUUGCUGUGGUCAUGUGGGAAGCCACCGUUACUGGUCGACGCCUCAUCGACGAGAUGGUCAACCUGGGAUCAUUCUACGUGGCACAGUAAGAGAAAGCAGAAGGGCACGAUUUCAACGAGUACGUCAUGCCGUAUGGCAAGCUACCGCUGAAUGUAAUUCGCAACUACAAUCUUCGCAUCGUUGACAC